GUGCCCGGCGCCUCCACCAUAGGGGGGCGAAACAGGCUCGACACGCGUGGUAAAGACGGACUUUUCGCUCGGCAUGGUUCCGCCGUCAUCGGGCCGUAUCACAAGUGCCAAUGACAAUCAUGAGGCGCUCGCCGUCGCUGCAUAAGCGAGAGGCGCGGUUCGGGGGGCACCGGGCAACAGAAGCCCCCCACU
RNAcentral lists this transfer-messenger RNA (192 nucleotides) under Rhodospirillales bacterium. RNAcentral's name for it is "partial transfer-messenger RNA". It matches the Rfam family "Alphaproteobacteria transfer-messenger RNA", at positions 101 to 355 of the family's 355-position model. Rfam says of the family: Bacterial tmRNA, also known as 10Sa RNA or SsrA, is named for its dual tRNA and mRNA-like properties. Its role is to liberate the mRNA from a stalled ribosome. The record is from RNAcentral. Lineage: Bacteria; Pseudomonadati; Pseudomonadota; Alphaproteobacteria; Rhodospirillales.